This 385-nucleotide ribosomal RNA is filed under the name Leprocaulinus insularis. Its description in RNAcentral is "partial 12S ribosomal RNA". Lineage: Eukaryota; Metazoa; Arthropoda; Insecta; Phasmatodea; Lonchodidae. The record is from RNAcentral.
UAAACUAGGAUUAGAUACCCUAUUAUUUUGAGCUUAAAUUUUUAUCUAGGUAUUAGUAAGUAUUUAUUUAAACCUAAAGAAUUUGGCGGUAUAUUAUUCUGAUUAGAGGAACCUGCUAUUUAAUCGAUAAUCCUCGUUUUAUCUUGCUAUGAUUUGUUAUUCAGUAUGUAUAUCGUCGUUAUAAGUUUAUUUUUUAAGAAUUUAUUUACUAUUUAAUUUAUUUGUUAUUAUUUCAGAUCAAGGUGCAGUUAAUAUUGUAGUUUAAGUGGGUUACAAUAUUUAUUUAUAUAUGGAUAUGUUAUUUAUAUAAUCAUUGAAAGUGGAUUUAAUAGUAAUUUUUGUAAUAGAGUUUUUUUGAAUAUAGCUCUGGUAUGAGUACACAUCG